This is a long non-coding RNA of Dreissena polymorpha, 436 nucleotides long. RefSeq lists it as uncharacterized. The transcript has 3 exons. The record is from RefSeq and is a predicted model, not a curated record. NCBI's taxonomy places the organism in Eukaryota, Metazoa, Mollusca, Bivalvia, Myida, Dreissenidae.
GAACCCGACGAAUUAUGGCUCGCAGGGACCAAUGUGGUGAACGACAAUGUUACAGAUACUCGCCUUGCCACCGCACCGGAGUCUGACAAAUCUCGACGUAAAAAGAAGCGCAGAAGACCCAAAGCACGGAGCCCUCUCUUAGCAACCCCUGAUAAAGUUCAAGAACAACAAAUAAAAUCCCAAAGACAGCAGCAGCAAAAGUCAACAGAGAGCUCGAAUGGAAGUGCCGAACGAAAAAUUUAUAACCGAACAUUACCAGUUGAAGGUUGCUCUAGUAACAACUCCCAAAGUAAUGGAAUAGACAAUGUGAACAGCACGUUGAGCCAGCUGAAAAUUGACGAGACCUCUGAUCGCACUAGAAAUGCAAGCCAGGCGAGUAACACAAGUUCUGUUCUGUAUGAUUACCUGAGCAUCUUUGAUUCAGAUUCAGAUGACG